RNAcentral lists this ribosomal RNA (486 nucleotides) under uncultured Alphaproteobacteria bacterium. RNAcentral describes it as "bacterial SSU rRNA". It matches the Rfam family "Bacterial small subunit ribosomal RNA", at positions 33 to 565 of the family's 1533-position model. Lineage: Bacteria; Pseudomonadati; Pseudomonadota; Alphaproteobacteria. The record is from RNAcentral.
ACGCUGGCGGCAGGCCUAACACAUGCAAGUCGAACGGGAUCUUCGGAUCUAGUGGCGGACGGGUUAGUAACGCGUGGGAACGUACCCUUUUCUACGGAAUAGCCUCGGGAAACUGAGAGUAAUACCGUAUACGCCCUUCGGGGGAAAGAUUUAUCGGAGAAGGAUCGGCCCGCGUAAGAUUAGAUAGUUGGUGGGGUAAUGGCCUACCAAGUCUACGAUCUUUAGCUGGUUUGAGAGGAUGAUCAGCAACACUGGGACUGAGACACGGCCCAGACUCCUACGGGAGGCAGCAGUGGGGAAUCUUAGACAAUGGGGGAAACCCUGAUCUAGCCAUGCCGCGUGAGUGACGAAGGCCUUAGGGUCGUAAAGCUCUUUCGCUGGGGAAGAUAAUGACUGUACCCAGUAAAGAAACCCCGGCUAACUCCGUGCCAGCAGCCGCGGUAAUACGGAGGGGGUUAGCGUUGUUCGGAAUUACUGGGCGUAAAG